UUGUGAGUAAAAGAAGUGAGAAAAUCAGCAAGUUGUAGAAAAAAUAUAAUUUCCAGUGAUUAGUGAGUGUGAGUGAAGACAUUCGUGCAGUAAAACGUGUGAAAAAUGAAGUGUGCGGUCGUGAAUUGCUUCAACUCUAAGCACCGAAAUCCCAAUGGGGUGACCUUCCACAGGUAAGUUACAAUUUUCUUCUUUCUUUUGACGCAGCAAUUUUAGUGAAAAAUAGUGAGUGAAAGCUUAUUUAAUUGUGAAUGCGUGGGGGUGUAAUUUGUUCUAAGCGGCGAUUAAUAUGAAUAGAAAAAAAUUCUGAAAAAUGUGGAUACAGUGAAAAUCUUCCCGGCCAACAUAUUCGACAGGAUAGUAUUUAGGGAUUUCCAAGUAACUUGCAAGUUCGGGAAAUUUGGGCUACACGUCUAGAGCUCUCUAUGUCCCUUGUAGGGAAGGAUAAGUAUGUGUGCAGCAUGCACUUCAGGCCAGAAGAUAUCAAACAGAAAAAUACUUCUAAAACGCAGCGCUUCAAAUAUGUGCAUUUUUUUGGAUCCAACUGCUCUUCCGAUUGACUUAAGGCAGACACAAGCAGAUUCUGGUGUUCAUCUUGAUGACAAUGCACAGCUUGGGAGUCAUAGUUCGAAAAUCUACGCUACAAUGGUAGAACUCCAAAAGUCAUCCGUCAGCGACUACAGUGCCAUGGACGAUGAUUGCGACGAAGUCGAGUGGAUUGAAUUCGAAGAUGACAUAUCGGAGCCAUGCAAUACGGCCAGUGAUUCGAUAAUUAUACAACCUCAGAAGGAGCAUUUCCACCGUUUAGCUCUGGAGGUUGGUCAGCAACGCUCAGAUGGCGGUGGCCGCAAAUAUUGCUUUCUGAUUAACUUUUCUUUAUGUCUGCUUUCAAGAGCACUUGCUCAAAACAUGUAUUGAUAUUCAAAAUUAAAAAAAAAACUUAAAUCAUACAACAAAAUGCAGCAAGAUUUCUGUAAAAAAGAAUUGAAUAUGCAAGUCUUAUUGAAAAAUCUGAUCUGUAACAA
This is a long non-coding RNA of Phlebotomus papatasi, 1025 nucleotides long. RefSeq lists it as uncharacterized. NCBI's taxonomy places the organism in Eukaryota, Metazoa, Arthropoda, Insecta, Diptera, Psychodidae. The transcript has 3 exons. The record is from RefSeq and is a predicted model, not a curated record.